This 249-nucleotide ribosomal RNA is filed under the name Burkholderia sp. RNAcentral describes it as "partial 16S ribosomal RNA". It matches the Rfam family "Bacterial small subunit ribosomal RNA", at positions 1166 to 1414 of the family's 1533-position model. The record is from RNAcentral. Lineage: Bacteria; Pseudomonadati; Pseudomonadota; Betaproteobacteria; Burkholderiales; Burkholderiaceae.
GAGGAAGGUGGGGAUGACGUCAAGUCCUCAUGGCCCUUAUGGGUAGGGCUUCACACGUCAUACAAUGGUCGGAACAGAGGGCUGCCAACCCGUGAGGGGGAGCUAAUCCCAGAAAACCGAUCGUAGUCCGGAUCGUAGUCUGCAACUCGACUACGUGAAGCUGGAAUCGCUAGUAAUCGCGGAUCAGCAUGCCGCGGUGAAUACGUUCCCGGGUCUUGUACACACCGCCCGUCACACCAUGGGAGUGGG